RNAcentral lists this ribosomal RNA (492 nucleotides) under uncultured bacterium. RNAcentral describes it as "partial 16S ribosomal RNA". It matches the Rfam family "Bacterial small subunit ribosomal RNA", at positions 29 to 507 of the family's 1533-position model. The record is from RNAcentral.
AGUGAACGCUGGCGGUAGGCCUAACACAUGCAAGUCGAACGGCAGCACAGUAAGAGCUUGCUCUUACGGGUGGCGAGUGGCGGACGGGUGAGGAAUACAUCGGAAUCUACUUUUUCGUGGGGGAUAACGUAGGGAAACUUACGCUAAUACCGCAUACGACCUACGGGUGAAAGCAGGGGAUCUUCGGACCUUGCGCGAUUGAAUGAGCCGAUGUCGGAUUAGCUAGUUGGCGGGGUAAAGGCCCACCAAGGCGACGAUCCGUAGCUGGUCUGAGAGGAUGAACAGCCACACUGGAACGGAGAAACGGUCCAGACUCCUACGGGAGGAAGCAGUGGGGAAUAUUGGACAAUGGGGGCAAGCCUGAUCCAGCCAUACCGCGUGGGGGAAGAAGGCCUUCGGGUUGUAAAGCCCUUUUGUUGGGAAAGAAAAGCAGCAGGUUAAUACGCCGCUGUUCUGACGGUACCCAAAGAAUAAGCACCGGCUAACUUCGUG